Molecule: ribosomal RNA, 491 nt
Filed under: uncultured bacterium
Lineage: Bacteria
Description: bacterial SSU rRNA
Rfam family: Bacterial small subunit ribosomal RNA
Source: RNAcentral
GAUGAACGCUAGCUACAGGCUUAACACAUGCAAGUCGAGGGGCAGCAUGAACUUAGCUUGCUAAGUUUGAUGGCGACCGGCGCACGGGUGAGUAACACGUAUCCAACCUGCCGAUGACUCGGGGAUAGCCUUUCGAAAGAAAGAUUAAUACCCGAUGGCAUAGUUCUUCCGCAUGGUAGAACUAUUAAAGAACUUCGGUCAUCGAUGGGGAUGCGUUCCAUUAGGUUGUUGGCGGGGUAACGGCCCACCAAGCCUUCGAUGGAUAGGGGUUCUGAGAGGAAGGUCCCCCANAUUGGAACUGAGACACGGUCCAAAACUCCUACGGGAGGCAGCAGUGAGGAAUAUUGGUCCAAUGGACGAGAGUCUGAACCAGCCAAGUAGCGUGAAGGAUGACUGCCCUAUGGGUUGUAAACUUCUUUUAUACGGGAAUAAAGUGAGGCACGUGUGCCUUUUUGUAUGUACCGUAUGAAUAAGGAUCGGCUAACUCCGUG